RNAcentral lists this non-coding RNA (75 nucleotides) under unclassified sequences. RNAcentral describes it as "L13-Bacteroidia ribosomal protein leader". It matches the Rfam family "L13-Bacteroidia ribosomal protein leader". The record is from RNAcentral.
UGGGGAACACUUAGAACCCCACGUACAGAAGUGUUAAUAGCGGUGCUUUUGGCCGAACAUCGUGGUUAGUGAAUC